UUAAGGCCUGCUUUUCUGCAAAUGGUACUCUGCUGACUUCCAGGUGCAUCUCAUCUCUUUAGUUGGCAUCCUUCCAGGUGUCUGAACCUUCUUUAAUGCCAGAAGCAUCACACAAGGCCUUCCAGAUAGGGAUCAACAUCUUCACGGGAGGCCGUAAUUCCUGAACAUGGAAAUCAUGUUGGUGAAGUUUAAGACUAUAAUUAAGAAACAGCACAACAAAAAUCCUCAAUCGUCGACCAUCUUUAGUUUUUAAAAGCCAUACAUGAUCCUGUUUUAUUUGUAAUACCCCGCGACCUGCAAUUUCAUGUAAUUCAUGCCUCCUAAAGUCAUUUAAUCAGUCAAAUCUUUUGUUUGAAAUUCAAGUCUGAAAUGCGAAAUAUUUGUAUACCUCAAAAAC
RNAcentral lists this long non-coding RNA (397 nucleotides) under Populus trichocarpa (black cottonwood). RNAcentral describes it as "long non-coding RNA (PTRI_LNC001883)". The record is from RNAcentral. Lineage: Eukaryota; Viridiplantae; Streptophyta; Magnoliopsida; Malpighiales; Salicaceae.